RNAcentral lists this ribosomal RNA (191 nucleotides) under uncultured bacterium. RNAcentral's name for it is "partial 16S ribosomal RNA". It matches the Rfam family "Bacterial small subunit ribosomal RNA", at positions 1309 to 1500 of the family's 1533-position model. The record is from RNAcentral.
AACCCGACUACNCGAAGCUGGAAUCGCUAGUAAUCGCGAAUCAGAAUGUCGCGGUGAAUACGUUCCCGGGUCUUGUACACACCGCCCGUCACACCAUGGGAGUCGGGAAUGCCCGAAGUCAGUGACCCAACCUUUGGAGGGAGCUGCCGAAGGCAGGUCUGAUAACUGGGGUGAAGUCGUAACAAGGUAGC